AGACGGAGGAGGCAAGCGUUGUCCGGAAUCAUUGGGCGUAAAGAGCGCGUAGGCGGUUUUCCAAGUCAUAUGUGAAAACUUUAGGCUUAACCUAAAGAUUGCAUGUGAAACUGGAUAACUAGAGUACGGCAGAGGAAAGUGGAAUUCCUGGUGUAGCGGUGAAAUGCGCAGAUAUCAGGAAGAACACCAGUGGCGAAGGCGGCUUUCUAGGCCGUUACUGACGCUGAGGCGCGAAAGCUAGGGGAGCGAACAGGAUUAGAUACCCUGGUAGUCCUAGCUGUAAACGAUGGACACUAGGUGUGGGAAGUUAUCGACGCUUUCUGUGCCGAAGCUAACGCAUUAAGUGUCCCGCCUGGGGAGUACGGCCGCAAGGCUAAA
This 378-nucleotide ribosomal RNA is filed under the name uncultured bacterium. Its description in RNAcentral is "bacterial SSU rRNA". It matches the Rfam family "Bacterial small subunit ribosomal RNA", at positions 523 to 898 of the family's 1533-position model. The record is from RNAcentral.